CCACCCCACACAAAUCCCCCCACCCCACCACCGCUACGCACACCCAGCCAGAUGAAACCACAGCCACAGAUACAGCACCAUAUACCUGAGCCGGAGAGGGAUUUGGACUUUGCCAGUCCAGACCAGCGUGAGUCUUUCAAGGUGAAGAGAGAGUUUUUCCAGAAGAUUGGUUCUCAGCCCAAGCCAGCAGCCAAACCGUUAAAGCCUCGCCCUGUUCCCAGCAGCCCCCCCAAACAGACCCGUCCCCGCUCCCCCUCUCCACCCC
This is a non-coding RNA of Salvelinus sp. IW2-2015, 265 nucleotides long. NCBI's taxonomy places the organism in Eukaryota, Metazoa, Chordata, Actinopteri, Salmoniformes, Salmonidae. The record is from RefSeq and is a predicted model, not a curated record.